GGGGCGGCAGGGUAGCCUAGUGGUUAGAGUGGAGGGGCGGCAGGGUAGCCUAGUGGUUAGAGUGGAGGGGUGGCAGGGUAGCCUAGUGGUUAGAGUGGAGGGGCGGCAGGGUAGCCUAGUGGUUAGAGUGGAGGGGUGGCAGGGUAGCCUAGUGGUUAGAGUGAAGGGGCGGCAGGGUAGCCUAGUGGUUAGAGUGGAGGGGCGGCAGGGUAGUCUAGUGGUUAGAGUGGAGGGGCGGCAGGGUAGCCUAGUGGUUAGAGUGUUGGACUAGUGACCGGAAGGUUGCAAGUUCAAACCCCCGAGCUGACAAGGUACAAAUCUGUCGUUCUGCCCCUGAACAGGCAGUUAACCCACUGUUCCCAGGCCGUCAUUGAAAAUAAGAAUUUGUUCUUAACUGACUUGCCUCGUUAAAUAAAGGUUAAAUAAAAAUAA
Oncorhynchus tshawytscha (Chinook salmon) is the source of this 432-nucleotide long non-coding RNA. The record is from Ensembl. Lineage: Eukaryota; Metazoa; Chordata; Actinopteri; Salmoniformes; Salmonidae.